CAGGAUGUAGCUAAGACAGAAUAAAGCAUCUCAUUUACACCGAGAAGCCGCCCGUGCAAAUCGGACCAUCCUGA
RNAcentral lists this transfer RNA (74 nucleotides) under Parazen pacificus (parazen). Its description in RNAcentral is "tRNA-Val". It matches the Rfam family "tRNA". Rfam says of the family: Transfer RNA (tRNA) molecules are approximately 80 nucleotides in length. Their secondary structure includes four short double-helical elements and three loops (D, anti-codon, and T loops). Further hydrogen bonds mediate the characteristic L-shaped molecular structure. tRNAs have two regions of fundamental functional importance: the anti-codon, which is responsible for specific mRNA codon recognition, and the 3' end, to which the tRNAs corresponding amino acid is attached (by aminoacyl-tRNA synthetases). tRNAs cope with the degeneracy of the genetic code in two manners: having more than one tRNA (with a specific anti-codon) for a particular amino acid; and 'wobble' base-pairing, i.e. permitting non-standard base-pairing at the 3rd anti-codon position. The record is from RNAcentral. Lineage: Eukaryota; Metazoa; Chordata; Actinopteri; Zeiformes; Parazenidae.